RNAcentral lists this long non-coding RNA (1713 nucleotides) under Hordeum vulgare. RNAcentral describes it as "long non-coding RNA (HVUL_LNC007825)". The record is from RNAcentral. Lineage: Eukaryota; Viridiplantae; Streptophyta; Magnoliopsida; Poales; Poaceae.
CUCACCUCCCCAAGGUAUCUUCAGCAGCUCGUCAACGCCCAAGCGUCCCAAUCCAGUCUGCUUUUCUCUGCUUGUUUGUUUAAACUGAUCGAUGCAUAGUAUCUUCUGUAGCACUAACACUUACAGAGAUAUAGUGAGUAGAAAAAAAUUCCUCAAGGUAGCACUUGCAGUUACAAAAUUACAGUGGUCAAAAUUAAGGGCGGGUCGGCUCAUAAAACAGUCCAUUGUCUCUUCGGUAGCCCUAGCAAAAGAUGAAAUUGACGUCAUGUUUGCAUUAUGUAGCUCAUCUCGUAGAACAGUACGUACAUAGUUACUACUCCCUCCGUUCCUAAAUAUAAGUCUUUUUAGAGAUUCUACUAAAAGAUUACAUAUAGAUGUAUAUAGACAUACUCUAAAGUGUAGAUUCAUUCAUUUUGCUUCGUAUGUAGUCACCUAAUGAAAUCUCUUAAAAGACUUAUAUUUAGGAACGGAGGGAGUACAUUGUGCCUCACAUUGCAAUUCUUUUAUACUAUAUUGAAAUAUUCAGUUACAGUAUAUAGCUGAUGAAACUUGCACAAUAUUGUCAUUAUAAAUUCAGUUUAGUUGUAAUUUCUUUUGUACUAGGCUGCUGGCAGUGGUAAAUUCACCUUACUUGCACUUUCUUUUUUACUGUAUAUUGACAAAUUCAGUUUGCUGGCAAUUUCAAAAUUAAACAAAUAAACUCUUCAUGUAGUUCAGUCAAAUAGCUUAUGUUUCUUCCUUUUUUCUGCAAUAGUAGGCUACUCACAAUGUUUUCAGCAGGAUCAUAGGCCUCCUCACAGCCUCAAGUGGAAAAUCAAGAAAUGAUCCAACAUGGGAGCAAUCUUUGAUUAUUCCGAUGUAGCUUCAUUAUAUUUUUGUGUUAUGUAAUCCGUUGGUCUGAUACUGAUACUGAUAGUUUCUUGUUUGUAUGGUUGGCUGGUUGCAUUAUUCUAUUAUCACACUAAUCGUUUUUAUUUGCAUGGUUACAUGGUUGAAUAUUGCCCGGAUGGACUAGUUAUAGUCUAUAUGUGUUGUGGCAUUUUGAUAGUUUUUGUUUGCAUGGUUGAAUAUUGUCCAGAUGGACCAGCUAUAGUCUAUAUAUAGUAAUAUAAAUGAUGAUUGUUCUAUUCAAGUGUCAUAUUGUCAUGAAUGGCCUACAAAUAUACACCAUAAUCUAAAAUAUGCAAGUGUUUUUACAAAACCGCUAUGUAGACAUAGCGUCAGCAAUAUCACUCGCUAUCCAAAUUCCGCUACGCCGACCUCAAUCCGCUAUCAUCCCGCUAUCCGCUAUUUAAAACCUUGAGUAGGACAUCCCAUGUAUCAAUCUGCUACUUGUUAGAUUUAGUCGCUUAAUGGCGAACACUAAAUUCCAUGCUCACAUGUGUAGACAGAUCAUUAGUUGCAAACAUCAUCAAUCUCGCUCACACUUGUGUGUUUGAUCUGAUCUGUACUGUACUGUUUAGAUUCAUUCGAAUUCUGCCAGGUCCUGUGACUUCUGUUCAUGCAUGUAACGUAUCCUUGCCGAUGGUUCCAAAAUACACAUUGCCUCCUCGUAUAGAAAUAUAUCUCCAAUUAACUGUACUUGUUGUCGUGUAUUGAUCAGUAGAGCUAACAAUUUUAUAAAUGCCUUUGGGAUUCUUUUCUUGCUCUGUUGCUACAGAAUUACUAUGUUUACCUUUGCACCUUUAACACUAUUUGACACCCCUUGUGCAG